This 492-nucleotide ribosomal RNA is filed under the name uncultured bacterium. RNAcentral's name for it is "partial 16S ribosomal RNA". It matches the Rfam family "Bacterial small subunit ribosomal RNA", at positions 29 to 507 of the family's 1533-position model. The record is from RNAcentral.
AGUGAACGCUGGCGGUAGGCCUAACACAUGCAAGUCGAACGGCAGCACAGUAAGAGCUUGCUCUUACGGGUGGCGAGUGGCGGACGGGUGAGGAAUACAUCGGAAUCUACUUUUUCGUGGGGGAUAACGUAGGGAAACUUACGCUAAUACCGCAUACGACCUACGGGUGAAAGCAGGGGAUCUUCGGACCUUGCGCGAUUGAAUGAGCCGAUGUCGGAUUAGCUAGUGGGCGGGGUAAAGGCCCACCAAGGGGACGAUCCGUAGCUGGUCUGAGAGGAUGAUCAGCCACACUGGAACUGAGACACGGUCCAGACUCCUACGGGAGGCAGCCGUGGGGAAUAUUGGCCAAUGGGCGCAAGCCUGAUCCAGCCAUAACGCGUGGGUGAAGAAGGCCUUCGGGUUGUAAAGCCCUUUUGUUGGGAAAGAAAAGCAGCAGGUUAAUACCCCGCUGUUCUGACGGUACCCAAAGAAUAAGCACCGGCUAACUUCGUG